GAUGAACGCUGGCGGCGUGCCUAAUACAUGCAAGUCGAACGGUAAAGGAAUGAGCUUGCUCUUUCCGGAGGAGUUGCGAACGGAUGAGUAACGCGUAGGUCACCUGCCUGGUAGCGGGGGAUAACAAUUGGAAACGAUAGCUAAUACUGCAUAACAGUAGCUGUUGCAGGAUACCUACUUACAAGGUGCAAUUGGACCACUACCAGAUGGACCUGCGUUGUAUUAGCUAGUUGGUGAGGUAACGGCUCACCAAGGCGACGAUACAUAGCCGACCUGGGAGGGUGGUCGGCCACCCUGGGACUUGAACACGGCCCAGGCUCCUGCGGGAGGCAGCAGUAGGGAAUCUUCGGCAAUGGACGGAAGUCUUACCCAACACCGCCGCGUGAGUGAAGGAGGUUUUCGGAGCGUAAAGCUCUGUUUUAAGAGAAGAACGAGUGUCAGAGUGGAAAGUUCACACUGUGACGGUACCUUACGAAAAAGCACCGGCUAACUACGUG
This 497-nucleotide ribosomal RNA is filed under the name uncultured bacterium. RNAcentral's name for it is "partial 16S ribosomal RNA". It matches the Rfam family "Bacterial small subunit ribosomal RNA", at positions 28 to 507 of the family's 1533-position model. The record is from RNAcentral.